AAGUGAGCUGCGGGCGCGGAAGGCCCAUU
RNAcentral lists this small RNA (29 nucleotides) under Bombyx mori (domestic silkworm). Its description in RNAcentral is "ovarian small RNA-4313". Lineage: Eukaryota; Metazoa; Arthropoda; Insecta; Lepidoptera; Bombycidae. The record is from RNAcentral.